Molecule: long non-coding RNA, 796 nt
Filed under: Monodelphis domestica (gray short-tailed opossum)
Lineage: Eukaryota; Metazoa; Chordata; Mammalia; Didelphimorphia; Didelphidae
Description: lncRNA (ENSMODG00000048948.1)
Source: RNAcentral
GGGAGGGUAAAAGGAAGGAGGUGGGCUCGGUAGCCUCGCCCUCUUGCCUAAAUUCUGAAGGUGACACUUAGCCAGCCCCGCACCAUCUUUUGUCCCUUUUCCCUCUUACCCUUCGUCCUUUUUUUUCUACUUCCUCCCUCCUUUUCUCUUUCCACUUCCUUUCUCCCCUCCCCCUCCUACUCUCUUCUUCUUUCCUCUCCCACCUCCUCCUUUUUCCCAUUUCCCUUCCCUCUCUUCCUCCCCCUUCCUUCUUCUUGAUACACACCUCUACCCACUUAUCCACCUUCCAACCCUUAACCCUGGAGGAGGACACGUGGGAGAUUUGGCCCCAGGCACCUCAGUAUCAUUGUCCUCAGUAACUAAGACCAUUCUCCCAUGUAUUUGGUGGGAGACUGUGCCCCAGGCAUUUUAGAGGGAGAUUUUGUACCAAGUAUCACCUCAGUCUUCUUAAACUGCACAGUAUUCUCCAAAAAUCAAAGUCUCUAGAGGAAUUCUCUAUCAAUACAGAAUUUCUCUUCCUUCUAGAUUGUGUGUUGGAUAUUCUCCAUGAUGGUAACAACUACUUUUGGCAGGCAAGAAUCUCCCUGUUUUAUGCUUCACUUGAUGUCGAUGAUGAAAAGAUCAUCAGAUAAAGUUAUCUUUUUCUUAAAGUUGAUCAAAGAAUCUAGUAUGAUCUUAUCAUGAAUACAAACAAUACCGACAUUAUAAGAGAUUUUAAGAGUGUAUUUUGUUCUAGUCAAUGAAAUGCUUUAAAAACAAUAAUAAAAAACCAAUAAACAUAGUGAUAUGUAUUUUC